This 481-nucleotide ribosomal RNA is filed under the name uncultured bacterium. Its description in RNAcentral is "bacterial SSU rRNA". It matches the Rfam family "Bacterial small subunit ribosomal RNA", at positions 28 to 524 of the family's 1533-position model. The record is from RNAcentral.
GACGAACGCUGGCGGCGUGCUUAACACAUGCAAGUCGAACGGAAAGGCCCUUUCGGGGGUACUCGAGUGGCGAACGGGUGAGUAACACGUGGGUGAUCUGCCCUGCACUUCGGGAUAAGCUUGGGAAACUGGGUCUAAUACCGGAUAUGAUCGCGCUCUUCAUGGGGUGUGGUGGAAAGCUUUUGCGGUGUGGGAUGGGCCCGCGGCCUAUCAGCUUGUUGGUGGGGUAAUGGCCUACCAAGGCGACGACGGGUAGCCGGCCUGAGAGGGUGUCCGGCCACACUGGGACUGAGAUACGGCCCAGACUCCUACGGGAGGCAGCAGUGGGGAAUAUUGCACAAUGGGCGCAAGCCUGAUGCAGCGACGCCGCGUGAGGGACGACGGCCUUCGGGUUGUAAACCUCUUUCAGCACAGACGAAGCGCAAGUGACGGUAUGUGCAGAAGAAGCACCGGCCAACUACGUGCCAGCAGCCGCCGUAAG